Molecule: ribosomal RNA, 422 nt
Filed under: uncultured bacterium
Lineage: Bacteria
Description: partial 16S ribosomal RNA
Rfam family: Bacterial small subunit ribosomal RNA
Source: RNAcentral
UGCGGAAUAUUGGACAAUGGGUGAGAGCCUGAUCCAGCCAUCCCGCGUGAAGGAUGACGGUCCUAUGGAUUGUAAACUUCUUUUGUACAGGGAUAAACCUACUCUCGUGAGGGUAGCUGAAGGUACUGUACGAAUAAGCACCGGCUAACUCCGUGCCAGCAGCCGCGGUAAUACGGAGGGUGCAAGCGUUAUCCGGAUUUAUUGGGUUUAAAGGGUCCGUAGGCGGACUUGUAAGUCAGUGGUGAAAUCUCAUAGCUUAACUAUGAAACUGCCAUUGAUACUGCAGGUCUUGAGUAAAUUUGAAGUGGCUGGAAUAAGUAGUGUAGCGGUGAAAUGCAUAGAUAUUACUUAGAACACCAAUUGCGAAGGCAGGUCACUAAGAUUUAACUGACGCUGAUGGACGAAAGCGUGGGGAGCGAACA